AUUGAACGCUGGCGGCAGGCCUAACACAUGCAAGUCGAGCGAGUGGCGGACGGGUGAGUAAUGUCUGGGGAUCUGCCCGAUAGAGGGGGCUAACUACUGGAAACGGUGGCUAAUACCGCAUACUAUCGGAUGAACCCAGAUGGGAUUAGCUAGUAGGUGGGGUAAAGUCUCACCUAGGCGACGAUCUCUAGCUGGUCUGAGAGGAUGAUAAGCAACACUGGGACUGAGACACGGCCCAGACUCCUACGGGAGGCAGCAGUGGGGAAUAUUGCAAAAGGGGCGCAAGCCUGAUGCAGCCAUGCCGCGUGUAUGAAGAAGGCCUUCGGGUUGUAAAGUACUUUCAGCGGGGAGGCGUUACCCGCAGAAGAAGCACCGGCUAACUCCGUGCCAGCAGCCGCGGUAAUUC
RNAcentral lists this ribosomal RNA (406 nucleotides) under uncultured bacterium. Its description in RNAcentral is "partial 16S ribosomal RNA". It matches the Rfam family "Bacterial small subunit ribosomal RNA", at positions 30 to 526 of the family's 1533-position model. The record is from RNAcentral.